CCUCUCUCUCCUUCUUCCGCCACACGACCCUCUACACAUCACAAAAUCCCCGGACGUCGCCGUACGGUCGUCUUCUUCUUCUUCUAUCCCUUCUCUCUCUCUUACGAGCACUCACGCGGAGAAAACCCUAACCCUAAUUCCUUACAAAUAUCAGCAAGAGAAUCCUACCCGUCCAACGAUGGAAGAUCUCCACAAGAACUUAUCUUCUUCAUCCUCCGCCAUCCGAUUCCUGGGCCUUCUGAAACAGCCGGACUCCGAUCUCACCCCCCUUGAACUAGACGAGAUCGACGUUGUCUGGUCGUCAACGACGACACCGUCCGAACUCUCUGAUUCGCCGACAACCGACAAUUCGACGGAAACGUUCUCUCCCGUCCGAUCGAUGGCCCACAAUUCGGCGUCUAAUAUCCACCGUCCCUUCCGUCCUGAUAAGUUCGGUCUCUCCGCCGUUCUUUCCGACGACCCCGCCCCUCUCCUGCAGCGGAAACCCUCCUUAAACCCUUCCCUCUCCGCCGCCACUGCUGCUCGUACAAUCCCGCCUGUCCCGGUCCCACGGUCCGAUGAGUCCUCCGGGCCGGGUUCUGGAAAGUUCCACCAGUCGGCACCUGUCGACGUGCCCAUCUGGCCCAAGGGGAAUUCGGCGUCGGCAAAUUUGAGCCUUUUUGAUGAGGACGAUGAGGAAAUUGAUGAUGAGAUGCUUCCACCGCACGAGAUCGUAGCGAGAUCGCAUCUGACUACAUUCUCUGUCUUUGAGGGAUUGGGGCGAACUCUCAAAGGGAGGGAUCUCCGUCGGGUUAGGAACGCCAUCUGGCAGAAGACAGGGAAUCAAAUCCAAACUAAGCUAUGGAAACUCAACAGAAUGCUGGGCCACAUAUAGGAAAAGGUUGGAAGAACACCUCCACCAUGAAAUGCAUGGAGCAAAUCGAUUUUCCAAGGCAUGAAAAGAUGGAGAUAUCUGAUUUAGCAUAAGACAGCCAAGACUGUGUGGAUGUUGUACCUGAUAACAGCUCAAGGAUAUCAGCUUAUUUAACAUGGAAGGUGCGAUGAGCUGUUGCAAAAAAUGUAAUGCAUGGAUGAAUGAGCCCAGUUUUGGAAAUCAAGAAAAAAACAGUUUCUUCAAUUUCACUUUUUCCUACCUGCAAUCCUAACACAUAAACGGCCAAUGCAGUUCUUUCUUAGUCGUCUAAUAGAGUUUCCUUAGUAAUGA
Molecule: RNA transcript, 1204 nt
Organism: Magnolia sinica
Lineage: Eukaryota; Viridiplantae; Streptophyta; Magnoliopsida; Magnoliales; Magnoliaceae
Gene name: protein S40-7-like
Exons: 3
Source: RefSeq, a predicted model, not a curated record